GUGGGAACGUACCCUCUGGUUCGGAAUAACUCAGGGAAACUUGAGCUAAUACCGGAUACGCCCUUUUGGGGAAAGGCUUGCUGCCGGAGGAUCGGCCCGCGUCUGAUUAGCUAGUUGGUGAGGUAACGGCUCACCAAGGCGACGAUCAGUAGCUGGUCUGAGAGGAUGAUCAGCCACACUGGGACUGAGACACGGCCCAGACUCCUACGGGAGGCAGCAGUGGGGAAUAUUGGACAAUGGGCGCAAGCCUGAUCCAGCCAUGCCGCGUGAGUGAUGAAGGCCUUAGGGUUGUAAAGCUCUUUUAUCCGGGACGAUAAUGACGGUACCGGAGGAAUAAGCCCCGGCUAACUUCGUGCCAGCAGCCGCGGUAAUACGAAGGGGGCUAGCGUUGCUC
This 394-nucleotide ribosomal RNA is filed under the name Microbacterium sp. F304. Its description in RNAcentral is "bacterial SSU rRNA". It matches the Rfam family "Bacterial small subunit ribosomal RNA", at positions 117 to 546 of the family's 1533-position model. The record is from RNAcentral. Lineage: Bacteria; Bacillati; Actinomycetota; Actinomycetes; Micrococcales; Microbacteriaceae.